Molecule: ribosomal RNA, 404 nt
Filed under: uncultured microorganism
Description: bacterial SSU rRNA
Rfam family: Archaeal small subunit ribosomal RNA
Source: RNAcentral
GUGCAGCAGGCGCGAAACCUCCGCAAUGCGGGAAACCGCGACGGGGGACCCCGAGUGCCGUGGCAACGCCACGGCUUUUCCGGAGUGUAAAAAGCUCCGGGAAUAAGGGCUGGGCAAGGCCGGUGGCAGCCGCCGCGGUAAUACCGGCGGCCCGAGUGGUAAUCACUUUUAUUGGGUCUAAAGGGUCCGUAGCCGGUUUGAUCAGUUCUUCGGGAAAUCUGACAGCUCAACUGUUAAGGCUUCCGGGGAAUACUGUCAGACUUGGGACCGGAGAGGUAAGAGGUGCUACAGGGGUAGGAGUGAAAUCUUGUAAUCCCUGUGGGACCACCAGUGGCGAAGGCGUCUUACCAGAACGGGUCCGACGGUGAGGGACGAAAAGCUGGGGGCACGAACCGGAUUAGAUA